Molecule: long non-coding RNA, 674 nt
Organism: Arachis duranensis
Lineage: Eukaryota; Viridiplantae; Streptophyta; Magnoliopsida; Fabales; Fabaceae
Exons: 3
Source: RefSeq, a predicted model, not a curated record
CACAUGACCACGUCGGCCACCUUCCCCGAAUCAAGAAUCAUUCGUGCAUCGUGCACCCCCAUUAGCCCCUUCUGAAGAAAAGCAAAGAGAACCCUAGCCCUAGGAUCCUUGCCGCCGCCGUCCCCAGGUUCUCGGCGCCUCCACUUCUUCUUCUCGCUGUUCGGAACCCAGGUAGCUUGGUUCGUCAUCCCCAUCUUCCCUGUCUUCUCUGUUCGUGGCUUGGAGCAGCUCGCCGUUGGGUCGCCGCUUGCUGUCGCCUUGCCUAUUGUCGUCGUCUCGUCGGUUUCCAUCCGUGUCUCCGUCGAAGGUUCAGUAUUGGCUUCAACUUUCAAAUAGGAAUUGGGAGCUGGUGAAGAUAACAACAUCUUCUGGAACUGAGUCUGUUGUUUCACUGCCUGAUGGAAAAGGUUAGAUCGGUUGGACCAGUAAAACAGUGAACCAGUGACUAAAACGAUUCGAUGAUCGGUUCGGUUUUCAGAACCUUGCAUAUAAAUACACACAUGACACGUCAGCACUUUGUGGGGCACUAGUCUCUUGCAAUAACAACCACUCUCUGGAAAAAAAAAUGCCUUGCAUUGGGUCCAAACUUAUCCAUCUUAAUUUCAUUUUAUAUGAUAAAAAGUACCUAAUUAAUCAUAUGUAUAUAUUAAAAGAAUUAUUUUUAUAUUUACCAC